AUUGAACGCUGGCGGCAUGCUUUACACAUGCAAGUCGAACGGUAACAGGCCGCACGGUGCUGACGAGUGGCGAACGGGUUAGUAAUGCAUCGGAACGUGCCCAGUCGUGGGGGAUAACUACUCGAAAGCGUAGCUAAUACCUCAUACGUUCUAUGGAUGAAAGCGGGGGACCGUAAGGCCUCGCGCGAUUCGAGCCGCCGCUGUCAGAUUAGGUAGUUGGUGGGGUAAAGGCUCUCCAAGGCAACGCGCUGUAGCUGGUCUGAGAGGAGGACCAGCCACACUAGGAAUGAGACACGGCCCAGACUCCUACGCGAGGCAACAGUGGGGAAUUUUGGACAAUGAGCGAAAGCCUGAUCCAGCAAUGCCGCGUGCAGGAAGAAGGUCUUCGGGUUGUAGACUGCUUUUGUACGGAACGAAACGGCUCUGGUUAAUACCCGGAGCUAAUGACGGUACCGUAAGAAUAAGCACCGGCUAACUACGUG
This 482-nucleotide ribosomal RNA is filed under the name uncultured bacterium. RNAcentral's name for it is "partial 16S ribosomal RNA". It matches the Rfam family "Bacterial small subunit ribosomal RNA", at positions 30 to 507 of the family's 1533-position model. The record is from RNAcentral.